AUUGAACGCUGGCGGCAUGCCUUGCACAUGCAAGUCGAACGGCAGCACGGGAGCAAUCCUGGUGGCGAGUGGCGAACGGGUGAGUAAAGUAUCGGAACGUGCCCAGUCGUGGGGGAUAACGUAGCGAAAGUUACGCUAAUACCGCAUACGAUCUAUGGAUGAAAGCGGGGGAUCGCAAGACCUCGCGCGAUUGGAGCGGCCGAUAUCAGAUUAGGUAGUUGGUGGGGUAAAGGCUCACCAAGCCGACGAUCUGUAGCUGGUCUGAGAGGACGACCAGCCACACUGGGACUGGGGCACGGCCCAGACUCCUACGGGAGGCAGCAGUGGGGAAUUUUGGACAAUGGGCGAAAGCCUGAUCCAGCCAUGCCGCGUGCAGGAUGAAGGCCUUCGGGUUGUAAACUGCUUUUGUACGGAACGAAAAGGUUUGGGCUAAUAAGCUGAGCUCAUGACGGUACCGUAAGAAUAAGCACCGGCUAACUACGUGCCAGCCGCCGCUGUAA
This 500-nucleotide ribosomal RNA is filed under the name uncultured bacterium. RNAcentral's name for it is "partial 16S ribosomal RNA". It matches the Rfam family "Bacterial small subunit ribosomal RNA", at positions 30 to 523 of the family's 1533-position model. The record is from RNAcentral.